Molecule: ribosomal RNA, 116 nt
Filed under: Pteropus alecto (black flying fox)
Lineage: Eukaryota; Metazoa; Chordata; Mammalia; Chiroptera; Pteropodidae
Source: RNAcentral
GUCUACAGCCAUGCCACCCUGAAUAAGCCCGAUGUCUGAUCUCGGAAGCUAAGCAGGGUUGGGCCUGGUUAGUACUUGGAUGGGAGACCACCUAGGAAGACCAGGUGCUGUGGGCA